Bombus pascuorum is the source of this 785-nucleotide long non-coding RNA. RefSeq lists it as uncharacterized. Lineage: Eukaryota; Metazoa; Arthropoda; Insecta; Hymenoptera; Apidae. The transcript has 3 exons. The record is from RefSeq and is a predicted model, not a curated record.
UCGCAUCGUAGCGAUAAACGGGCAGAAUUUAUUGCAUUUGCGGUAUGAAGAUGCUUUGAAAAUGCUGCAGUGCUGGUCCUCUCUCAAGCUACUUCCCGUAAAAACGCGACCUCCAGGAAGAAUCUCGAACAACCUGCGGAAAAUAACUAUUUGAAUGACAUCAGAUUCGACGUGUCCUCGGAAGCAGAUACGUCGAGCAUGACAAACAAAUGGCUCGUUCAAAGGAUCACCGACAUUGCAUCUGUUCAAAACACCUCGAGUGCGUACAGCAGUGGCGUAUCGAGUGCAAUGGGUAAUCACAAUGCAAACAGCCUAUACAUGGCCGAUCUUGUCGAUAAUGGUGCACUUAAGCCCGCAGGUAUGCUGCUCAGUAUAGAGGACUUCGACGUCAGCAGGACGAUUCGCAAAGUUUUUAUUUAAUCGUCGAUAAAGCAAGUACAGAAUCUAUUAGCAGUACACCGCCAGUCCCACCGAGACGGAAGAAGCGCAAAGCGAAGCUCGCCGCGAUUGCAAAAUCUCCGAAAGGAACGUCACCGACUCGUCUCAGAAAACCAAACAAAAAGCGUUCGGCGCCACUGCCUCCGCCGCGAGCAGUCCGAAAGUUCAAAUCUCACGUCGCCAAAGAUCAGGGAGAAGAAAGGACGUCGAACUCGCAUACAGUAGACGAUGCGGAAGAAACGCUAAAUAGUCUAAGUUCGAAUGAGACGGGGGAAACUUCUCAGCCGUGGUCUUUGCAGCUCGAGGAUGCUGACUCGAUACGGAUCGAGAAAGCCAGUAAAGAUGAA